Molecule: long non-coding RNA, 644 nt
Filed under: Panax ginseng (ginseng)
Lineage: Eukaryota; Viridiplantae; Streptophyta; Magnoliopsida; Apiales; Araliaceae
Description: long non-coding RNA (PGIN_LNC017589)
Source: RNAcentral
UUUGUUUUAUUAUAUGUUCUUCGUCAGUUAUAAUCGGACAGGUAAUCCAUGUCUGUUUUAGUAUAUCUUCAAGUACGAACUGAACCUAAAUAUGUAGAAUAUACAUGCAAAUUAAUGAAAAGAAGAGAAUAAAAAUCACACCAAGAUUUUUACUUGAUUCAAUCCCUAUCCUCUAAUCUAGUGGCCUAAUCCACAUCCAAUAACAACUGUUAUUAAAAACUCUUUAUAUUAAAUAAACUUUUCAAUACACAAUACAACCUUUCUCACCAUAGCAACUGUUCCAAGUGCGUGUUCAAAGCAGUGUGGCAAAGCAUAGAAUACCUUUUGCAGAAUACCAUAUGGCAAAGCAUAUAUGAUUCCUUAAUUAUUUGCAGAAUACCAGAUGGCAAAGCAUAGUAUGCCAUUUAUUUAACAAGUCAAUAAUGGCACGGACUUGGAACAGUUGCUAAGACAUCAUUGACUUGUUAAAUAAAUGGCAUACUAUAUAUGCUUUGCCAUCUGGCAGGUAUUCUGCUUAAUGGCAAUAUAUAUAAGAGAUUUGAACUUGAUGUAAUAAUAAGAUGGAUAAAAAUAAAACUUUAGGGCUUAAUUGGGGAAUAUUAUACAUGGAACUCUUAAAAGAAUUGUGGAGAUAAACCCCAAAG